Molecule: non-coding RNA, 30 nt
Filed under: Mus musculus (house mouse)
Lineage: Eukaryota; Metazoa; Chordata; Mammalia; Rodentia; Muridae
Source: RNAcentral
UGAUACCUAGGCUCUUAUUUUAGGCAUGGU